CUCUGGAUGAGGUAAAGGACUAUCUUGAUGAGUCGUCUCUACAACAGAAGGUUCUUCAAUUUUGUUUCUUAUAAUUGGUGUUGCAAGAGGAGACAGAUCUAGAGGCAUUUUCUUAAUAUCAUCUUCAGAAGCCUUUUUAAACUCAUUUUCAAAAGGACUUGCUAAUUCAUUGAAUAAGCCCACUUCUUCACAGUUCUUCAAGAAUCGAGUUGGUGUUGGUGUCUGAUCAGCCACAAUGACACUAUCAUUACGAGCCGGACCAAAUUUCAGUGUCAUCUCAUGUUUAUGUUUAUGGACAGCCAAAUGAUCCUCAUUGGUAAAACGCUGGCCACAUCCAGGGGCAGUGCAUAAAAAGGGUUUGUCAUCACUCAUAUUCCACAGGUCGUCGUGCUACCUGUCAGAUUUCACAUAUAAAUCUGUUUCAUAGGGCAAACUAUCAUAUCCUCCUUUUCAUGGCAAUGAACUAGAAGGACUGCAACAACUUCUUUUUUUUUU
This 495-nucleotide long non-coding RNA is filed under the name Gallus gallus (chicken). The record is from RNAcentral. Lineage: Eukaryota; Metazoa; Chordata; Aves; Galliformes; Phasianidae.